CCUACGGGAGGCAGCAGUAGGGAAUAUUGCACAAUGGAGGAAACUCUGAUGCAGCAACGCCGCGUGAGGGAAGAAGGAUUUCGGAUCGUAAAGUUCUAUUGUCAGAGAAGAACGUGACGGUGACUGACUAGUUAGCACCGUCUGACUACGUUCCCGGAGCCGCGGGAAUACGUAGGGGGCAGGCGUUAGCCCGAUUUGUUGGGUGGAAACGUGGAGUAGGCGGGUUAGCAAGUCAGGAGUGAAAGGCCGGGGGUCAACACAGAGAAUGCUUUUGAAACUGUUAAACUAGAGUGCAGGAGAGGUGAGUGGAAUUCCAUGUGUAGCGGUGAAAUGCGUAGAUAUAAGGAGGAACACCAGUGGCGAAGGCGGCUUACUGGACUGUAAAUGACGCUGAGGCUCGAAAGCGUGGGGAGCAAACAGGAUUAGAUACCCGAGUAGUC
This 440-nucleotide ribosomal RNA is filed under the name uncultured bacterium. RNAcentral describes it as "partial 16S ribosomal RNA". It matches the Rfam family "Bacterial small subunit ribosomal RNA", at positions 338 to 795 of the family's 1533-position model. The record is from RNAcentral.